This 230-nucleotide ribosomal RNA is filed under the name Rhizobium etli. RNAcentral describes it as "partial 23S ribosomal RNA". The record is from RNAcentral. Lineage: Bacteria; Pseudomonadati; Pseudomonadota; Alphaproteobacteria; Hyphomicrobiales; Rhizobiaceae.
GGGGAAACCCACCUUAAAUGCUUAGAAAAUCAAGCGCGCCGUGAGGUGCGAGGCAGUAGCCAGCAGGCAAUAUGCAGUAGUGGAUUGAAAGAGAAACCAUUGCCUACUGCCUAAGACCUAUUGCCUGGAAGCGCGUCAAAGACGCGCUUGGUUUCUAAGCAUUGUUAUGAGGUAUCUUCACCUGAAUAAAAUAGGGUGUUAAGAAGCGAACGCAGGGAACUGAAACUUCU